Molecule: non-coding RNA, 74 nt
Organism: Lactarius akahatsu
Lineage: Eukaryota; Fungi; Basidiomycota; Agaricomycetes; Russulales; Russulaceae
Source: the annotation of a GenBank genome assembly
GGUUCGAUGGCGUAGUUGGUUAUCGCAUCUGUCUAACACACAGAAGGUCCCCGGUUCGAACCCGGGUCGAAUCA